UCACUUCUGCAGUGUGUAUACUAAAAUGCAGAGAAGAUUAGAAUGGCUCCUGUACAAGGAUGACACAAGUUGAUGAAGCAUUCUAUAUUUUU
Molecule: small nuclear RNA, 92 nt
Filed under: Mus spicilegus (steppe mouse)
Lineage: Eukaryota; Metazoa; Chordata; Mammalia; Rodentia; Muridae
Source: RNAcentral